UGUAAAAUUUUACUUCAAAUUAGAUCACUUCUGUGAUUUUACGUUUUCUCACUUUAAUAUCCUGUAGUUUAAACCAUAUCAAUUUAGUACAUUAUAAUUUUAUUUUUAUUUUUUAUUAUUAAUUUCACUAAUUUUUUUUUAUUAAUCAGUGACAAAAUUAAAACUUAAGGAUACUAAAGUAAAUAUUCGAUAAAUCUGAAUGGAAUAUCCACUACAACAAAAACGGUCUAUAGCGACACUUUUAAAUGUAGGUACAUGUCAAAAAAGUGCUGCUAGCUAAAAUUACCGACACUUUUAAAAAGUGUUGCUAUAUGUGGGGUCGCUAGAUAUAUAGUGACAGUUAAAGAGUGUCGCUAUAACCUAAAAGAGUGCUGCUAAUUUACCAACACUUAUUUAAGCAUUUAGCAACCGCCGAAACUCUAUCUCGUUGGCUGCGGUGGCAGAAGAGGACGACGGGAAAGGCUCUUCGUCUAGAAUUUCAGUGGAUUGAGUCAAGAGAGAAGAAAAAAUGGUAAUUGAUUUUUCUUUUUUUUUCUUUUCUGUUUGUAAUCGGGCUAAAUGGACUCGGUGUGGUGGGUUGAGUAGAAUAAUUUUUUAUUUUGAUUGGGCUUUAUAUUUAGGCAUUAUUAGAUUUUUUUUUUAAGUUUUAGCAUAAAUGAGAUACUUACUCAAAAGUAUCCCAAACAUGUGUCCCUAUAACCUAAUUCUAUUGUAGUGAUCUGAAAUUUUUUAUAUAUAAUUUAAGAAAAUAUUAAUGAAAAAACUAACGAAAAGAUAAAAACGAAACGAUAGGAUACUAACUUGAUACACUCUAAACUUUAUAAUACUAAAGUGAGAAAGUACGAAAUAAUAGGAGUAGUAUUUAAAGCUUACCCUAUAUAAUAUCAACCAUAAUAGGUCAAACAACAUUUCAACAAAUAAAUAAAUAAAUAAUAA
Molecule: long non-coding RNA, 936 nt
Filed under: Ananas comosus (pineapple)
Lineage: Eukaryota; Viridiplantae; Streptophyta; Magnoliopsida; Poales; Bromeliaceae
Description: long non-coding RNA (ACOM_LNC017056)
Source: RNAcentral